UAAAGGAGUUAUACCAACGGUGCUCCACCUGAUCCCAUUCCGAACUCAGAAGUGAAAUCCGUUAUGGCCCAUGAUAGUCGGACUCAUCCGGCGAAAGUAGGUAACUCCUCUAC
RNAcentral lists this ribosomal RNA (113 nucleotides) under Candidatus Yanofskybacteria bacterium RIFCSPHIGHO2_02_FULL_39_10. The record is from RNAcentral. Lineage: Bacteria; Candidatus Yanofskyibacteriota.